CUGCGAUAAUGGCAAACCCAGUGAGAGUUGGGGACGCAAAGCCACGGGUCUGACCACAGAAUGUGAAGAUAGCCGGGUUAUCGAA
This 85-nucleotide non-coding RNA is filed under the name Desulfosporosinus orientis. Its description in RNAcentral is "c-di-GMP sequence". It matches the Rfam family "c-di-GMP-I riboswitch aptamer". From Rfam's summary of the family: GEMM was predicted in a large-scale screen for bacterial structured RNA regulatory elements. Genes associated with GEMM are involved in a diverse array of functions, including chemotaxis regulation, signal transduction, secretion and chitin. The record is from RNAcentral. RNAcentral also lists the same sequence under 1 other name. Lineage: Bacteria; Bacillati; Bacillota; Clostridia; Eubacteriales; Desulfitobacteriaceae.